CAGCCGCCGCGGUAAUACGUAGGGUGCGAGCGUUAAUCGGAAUUACUGGGCGUAAAGCGUGCGCAGGCGGUUCGUCAAGACAGAUGUGAAAUCCCCGGGCUUAACCUGGGAACUGCAUUUGUGACUGGCGAGCUAGAGUAUGGCAGAGGGGGGUAGAAUUCCACGUGUAGCAGUGAAAUGCGUAGAGAUGUGGAGGAAUACCGAUGGCGAGGGCAGCCCCCUGGGCCAAUACUGACGCUCAUGCACGAAAGCGUGGGGAGCAAACAGGAUUAGAUACCCCAGUAGUCCCUGUCUCUUAUAC
RNAcentral lists this ribosomal RNA (301 nucleotides) under uncultured bacterium. RNAcentral describes it as "partial 16S ribosomal RNA". It matches the Rfam family "Bacterial small subunit ribosomal RNA", at positions 509 to 807 of the family's 1533-position model. The record is from RNAcentral.